UGGAGCACAAGGCCGGUUUACCCCCGUUUUGAUUUCAAGCUUGAUAUCUCAAGCUACCAGUCACCACUCCUCACCAAACUCCAUCCACAAGCUCGCCUCAACGUCCUGAAGCUCCCAGAAGUGGCCUUGCACGGCGGCGCUACUCGUGGUGGCGGCUGGAAGCCAGACCCGAUCAAAUCGAAAACCGAAGCUUCGAGCAAUAUAUCUCGCGCUACAGGACGUUGUUUUGAGUGUUUCUUGAACUGGUGAACUCAGAGUGAGGAUCUGAACAACUUUCCAGAAGGUAUCGAGGCCUGAAGUUGCAGUUUUUACGUCGAACUAGGAGCUCGCCGGUUUCUGGGUUUUUCCGGCCAACCGACUGGUUUGAGGUGAUCGACGGUUUGAUUUGGCGGACGAUUCGUGAAAGUGUAUUUUGAGCUGUUAAGAAGACGCAGCGGGAAUUUAGAGCGGGAAAUCCUACAGGUCAGGAGAACCAGGACGGUGAUCGGGCUGCUUAGAGUAGUGUUAUGUGAAUUACAGCAUUAUAUUGUGAGGUUUGUUAUGCUCAUUUAGAGCUUUGCAAUUUUACUUUGUAAGAGUGAAUUGUAAUAAUUAACUCGAGGGUUUCGAGUUUUUGUGUUGA
Rosa rugosa (rugosa rose) is the source of this 622-nucleotide long non-coding RNA. RefSeq lists it as uncharacterized. Lineage: Eukaryota; Viridiplantae; Streptophyta; Magnoliopsida; Rosales; Rosaceae. The record is from RefSeq and is a predicted model, not a curated record. The transcript is spliced from 3 exons.